Molecule: long non-coding RNA, 609 nt
Organism: Triticum aestivum (bread wheat)
Lineage: Eukaryota; Viridiplantae; Streptophyta; Magnoliopsida; Poales; Poaceae
Exons: 3
Source: RefSeq, a predicted model, not a curated record
UCUAGUGCUAACCACAGACAUCCUUUCGACUUUUCACCAAUACGAAAAUUAAAGAGGAAUGUCAGGAGAACUCAUUCAGGAAAUUAAAACUCAACUUCGUUGCUUUAAUUGAACGAACGGAUCCGUGAAACGUUCCUGCACAAUCAGCCAUUAAAGGCCACGGUGAGCUCCCUUGAUCUCCCCAUAUCGACCCUCUCUUCCCCUAUAAUUAGGACCCCGGAAAGCACAACAUAUCUCACCAUCCCUAAGCCAGAAACCCCUCUCUGUAUCGCUCUCCUACGCGAGCAAUUGCUCGCCGGAGUUCAACAAUAGCAUCAAAGUCCGACAAGGAUUCCGUCGCGACCGAGCCGGAGCACGAGUUCUUCGUUGUCCGCUUUCGGCUGGAGUUGCGCCCAACUCCGGCGACAUCUAGCAGCCACCUGAAGGCGAACCAGGAGCCGACGUCGUGUUCUGGAGACUCACCCCGACUUCCUCUCCCUCGUUGCCGGAGAUCACCGCAUCACCUCACGUCCGAGCCGCCGCUGCCGGCCAUCUCCAUCUCCGAUUGCGACGAGUGCGAAGGUGAAUUCCACGAGGAGGUAGAACCUUGUGACUACGAAACUGAAGGCA